Molecule: ribosomal RNA, 440 nt
Filed under: uncultured bacterium
Lineage: Bacteria
Description: partial 16S ribosomal RNA
Rfam family: Bacterial small subunit ribosomal RNA
Source: RNAcentral
CCUACGGGUGACAGCAGUGGGGGAUAUUGCACAAUGGGGGGAACCCUGAUGCAGCGACGCCGCGGGGGUGAAGAAGGGCCUCGGCGCGUAAAGCCCUGUCAGCAGGGAAGAAAAUGACGGUACCUGACGAAGAAGCCCCGGCUAACUACGUGCCAGCAGCCGCGGUAAUACGUAGGGGGCAAGCGUUAUCCGGAUUUACUGGGUGUAAAGGGGGCGUAGACGGCGAUGCAAGUCAGGGGUGAAAGCUCGGGGCCCAACCCCGGGACUGCACUGGGAACUGCGGGGCUGGAGUGCAGGAGGGGCAGGCGGAAGUCCUGGUGUAGCGGUGAAAUGCGUAGAUAUCAGGAGGAACACCGGUGGCGAAGGCGGCCUGCUGGACUGCAACUGACGUUGAGGCCCGAAAGCGUGGGGAGCAAACAGGAUUAGAUACCCGAGUAGUC